ACUGCCCCAUCUAUACCACCACCCCGUCUAUACAAGCACCACCCCCAUCUACACCAUCCCACCAUCUACGCCAUUGCCAGAUCUACACAGACAACCUCACUUCCAUCCACACCUUCACACACACACCCGUCUACACCACCAUCUCCCGUGUCCACACGGCGGCCCCGCUCCAUCGGCCUGAGAGCAGCGACGGUGGCUUCGUCCCACGCGUCGUGUCUGGCCCGGGGGUGUCCGAGGAGCUCGGAGACCGUGUAGCCCGGGGUGCGGCCCCCCAGAGGGUGCCGUGGUCUCCAUUCGGAGGGCCCGGCUGUGGCGCUAGGAGUUGGGACACAAGGGUCUCGGCAGCACCCUGACCUCCACGCCCUCCUAGGAAAGACCACGCUGAUCAAGGCGCUGACGGGCGAUGCUGCCAUCCAGCCGCGGGACCAGCUGUUUGCCACGCUGGACGUCACGGCCCACGCGGGCACGCUGCCCUCACGCAUGACCGUCCUGUACGUGGACACCAUCGGCUUCCUCUCCCAGCUGCCGCACGGCCUCAUCGAGUCCUUCUCCGCCACUCUGGAAGACGUGGCCCACUCGGAUCUCAUCCUGCACGUGAGGGACAUCAGCCACCCCGAGGCGGAGCUCCAGAAAUGCAGCGUUCUGUCCACACUGCGCGGCCUGCAGCUGCCCGCCCCGCUCCUGGACUCCAUGGUGGAGAUUCACAACAAGGUGGACCUCGUGCCUGGGUACAGCCCCACGGAACCCAACGUCGUGCCUGUGUCUGCCCUGCGGGGCCAUGGGCUCCAGGAGCUGAAAGCUGAGCUCGAUGCGGCGGUUUUGAAGGCGACCGGGAGACAGAUCCUCACUCUCCGGCGUGAGGCUCGCAGGGCCAGCUCAGCUGGCUGCAUAAGGAGGCCACAGUUCAGGAGGUGGACGUGAUCCCUGAGGACGGGGCGGCCGACGUGAGGGUUAUCAUCAGCGACUCAGCCUACGGCAAAUUCCGGAAGCUCUUUCCAGGAUGAACGGACGCCCACAGAGGCCUGGGGAGUGGGGGCAUUGCUGCCUGGGGAGCUGAGGCGUUACCACUGUGUUGGGGCAGGCCUGGUGUCAGGUGCAGCAGGGUCCUCCUUGUCUGGUUGUGCGCCCGUCUCGUUCCCAGCCAUUUGCUGGGAUGACCGUGCAGGCCCGGUGACACGGCCGCACCUGCCCCAAAGCGGGCCACCGAGCGUUCCACUCCAAGCCUGAGCGUCCACACAAUUCCAGUGGGCCCUCGAUGCCUGUGUGAACUGCUUCCCUCGGAAUGUUUCGGUAGCAGGACAUAAACUUUGUUAUUUACUUCCGUGAGCAGCAUUUUCCAGUACCUCCUGCACCUGCCGUGAGCCGUGGCCCUGGUGGGCACCGACGGCCCCUCCGCCCGGCUGUCUGUGUUCACAGAUGGUCUCGUUUCCAUGGUGGUGUCGGGGAAAUGACGAAAAAUCAGGUUUCCCAGCAGCACAGAGAACCCUUCCACAAAAGUAGAAGGGAAAGCAAAUAGUUUUACUAAAGAAGCAGCUUCAAACCUGACC
Molecule: small RNA, 1547 nt
Filed under: Pongo abelii (Sumatran orangutan)
Lineage: Eukaryota; Metazoa; Chordata; Mammalia; Primates; Hominidae
Description: retained intron
Source: RNAcentral